UACGAAGGGGCUAGCGUUGCUCGGAAUCACUGGCGUAAAGCGCACGUAGGCGGAUUGCUAAGUCAGGGUGAAAUCCUGGAGCUCAACUCCAGAACUGCCUUGAUACUGGCGAUCUUGAGUCCGGGAGAGGUGAGUGGAACUGCGAGUGUAGAGGUGAAAUUCGUAGAUAUUCGCAAGAACACCAGUGGCGAAGGCGGCUCACUGGCCCGGUACUGACGCUGAGGUGCGAAAGCGUGGGGAGCCAACAGGAGUUAAGAAACCCCGAUGA
This 268-nucleotide ribosomal RNA is filed under the name uncultured bacterium. Its description in RNAcentral is "partial 16S ribosomal RNA". It matches the Rfam family "Bacterial small subunit ribosomal RNA", at positions 524 to 793 of the family's 1533-position model. The record is from RNAcentral.